Molecule: long non-coding RNA, 1320 nt
Organism: Lutra lutra (Eurasian river otter)
Lineage: Eukaryota; Metazoa; Chordata; Mammalia; Carnivora; Mustelidae
Exons: 3
Source: RefSeq, a predicted model, not a curated record
AAAUCCUGUCUGUGUUCCUGAGUAUCUAUAUUGCAUUUCACGGAAGAAGACACUGAGACUUUGAGGUCCAAUGGCUGAGCCAAGACUUAAAGCCAGGCUGUCUCUUGCUCCAAAUCCAUACUCUUAACUAAUCCCCUGAGGAAGCUUUUGCAGGCGUGAGCAGUCCCAGAUCAGCAAAAUUGAAAAGGAUGCAUGUGUGAAAGGACCAAGUGGAUCCUCCCUAGUGUUUUCGUGUGAGCAUGAGUAAAGGCAAGAACAGGGAAGAAAAUACGAUUGAGAAAACAAGUCUAAGUUUAUGUUUCAGAGUUCUGCUUUAUAUUGUGGCUCCACGGUGAUUUGAAAACCCUGCGGUGCUUGAUUGCCUGGUUAGACGUGGGGAAGGAGCCACUUGUCUUAUAGCAAGGUGAAAUCAAGAAACACGGAAAGUCAUGACUGGUUUCCCCAACCACUACGUGCCCCUUAUCCCUCCACCUGACUAUGUCCACCUCUGCCUAGAAGACUCCUUCUGGAACUUUAAGACCCACCGUCUCAUCUCUUUGAAACUUUCUAGAUCCAUCCUUCUUUGGCCCCAAGUAGAAUAGCUGUUCUUUUUAUAUACAUUUCCUCAGACCCACAUAGGUAUGUGUGCAUUACUAAUAGGUCACUUUUAAUAUGCCCGCGUCCCCUACCAGGAAGUGAGCUUCUCAAGGACAGGGACUGCAUUCUGGUCAGUGUGGCUCAGCUGGGCCCCCUGUUGAGAGAGGUUGGGCAAGGGCCCUCUGCCUGAGGCCCCACCAUGGCUCUGAACCCACCAGUGCAGUCGGGCAAGCCUUGGCCUCCUCCUUCCCUUGGCCGGUGUCCAAGUGACUCAGGCCUUUUCCUGGAGGCCAGGAACGUGCCCCAGCCCAGAUCCUGGUGCUGAGCUCCACUCUGCCCCAUGGCUCCGCUGACGCCAGCCUGCCUGAGGCCACGUGAUCCCCACCAGCCUCUCCAGGGUCCCUGCUCUGCCCUGUUUCAUCUUGCCUCUGCCCUGGUGACAGCUCUCCUUCACUCCUCAUCACACUCCAGUCCCUGCUGCCUCACUCCAGGGGAAAGGGAGCUGGAAUCCUCGCCCAGCCGUGGGGGCGUUAGACCCCCAGGGAGGCAGAAUGAUGGCUCCCUGGAGAGAUCAGGUCCCAAUCCCUAGAACCUCAUGCUGCCUUCUAAGAAACAAUAAGGGCCUUUGCGGGUGUGAUUAAAUUAAGGAUCCGGUGAUGGAGAGAUUAUCCUGGAUUCGUCAGGUGAGCCCUCAAUGCCACUGUAGUGUCCCUGUGAGAGAGAAGCAGGGGGAAAUUUCACAGA